CUGCUGCCUUCCGUAGGAGUCUGGUCCGUGUCUCAGUACCAGUGUGGGGGGCCUUCCUCUCAGAACCCCUACGCAUCGUCGCCUCGGUGGGCCGUUACCCCGCCGACUAGCUAAUGCGCCGCAUGCCCAUCCGUGGCCGGGAUUGCUCCCUUUGGCGGCCUUGGGAUGUCCCUAGGCCGCGUUACGCGGUAUUAGACGGGGUUUCCCCCGCUUAUCCCCCCUGCCACGGGCAGGUUGCAUACGUGUUACUCACCCGUGCGCCGGUCGCCGGCAACGG
This 277-nucleotide ribosomal RNA is filed under the name uncultured bacterium. RNAcentral describes it as "partial 16S ribosomal RNA". The record is from RNAcentral.